This 106-nucleotide ribosomal RNA is filed under the name Paenibacillus odorifer. Lineage: Bacteria; Bacillati; Bacillota; Bacilli; Caryophanales; Paenibacillaceae. The record is from RNAcentral.
UAGCGGAGGGGUUCCACACGUACCCAUCCCGAACACGACCGUUAAGCCCUCCAGCGCCGAUGGUACUUGGACCGAAGGGUCCUGGGAGAGUAGGACGCCGCCAAGC